This 465-nucleotide ribosomal RNA is filed under the name uncultured bacterium. RNAcentral's name for it is "partial 16S ribosomal RNA". It matches the Rfam family "Bacterial small subunit ribosomal RNA", at positions 28 to 507 of the family's 1533-position model. The record is from RNAcentral.
GACGAACGCUGGCGGCGUGCUUAACACAUGCAAGUCGAACGGAAAGGCCCCUUUGGGGGUACUCGAGUGGCGAACGGGUGAGUAACACGUGAGUAACCUGCCCUUGACUUCGGGAUAACUUCAGGAAACUGGGGCUAAUACCGGAUAGGAAUCCUUGCUGCAUGGUGGGGGUUGGAAAGCUUCGGCGGGUUUGGAUGGACUCGCGGCUUAUCAGCUUGUUGGUGGGGUAGUGGCUUACCAAGGCUUCGACGGGUAGCCGGCCUGAGGGGGCGACCGGCCACAUUGGGACUGAGGGACGGCCCAGACUCCUACGGGAGGCAGCAGUGGGGAAUAUUGAACAAUGGGCGGAGGCCGGAUGCAGCAGCGCCGCGUGCGGGAUGACGGCCUUCGGGUUGUAGACCGCUUUCAGCAGGGGCGAAGCUUGUGGUGACGGUACCUGCAGAAGAAGCACCGGCUAACUACGUG